GCAUUGGUGGUUCAGUGGUAGAAUUCUUGCCUCCCACGCAAGAGACCCGGGUCCGAUUCCCGGCCAAUGCA
Paramisgurnus dabryanus is the source of this 71-nucleotide non-coding RNA. The record is from the annotation of a RefSeq genome assembly. NCBI's taxonomy places the organism in Eukaryota, Metazoa, Chordata, Actinopteri, Cypriniformes, Cobitidae.